UUGACGGGGCCCGCACAAGCGGUGGAGCAUGUGGUUUAAUUCGACGCAACGCGAAGAACCUUACCAGGGCUUGACAUCCCCUGACCGCGUAUGAAAGUACGUUUUCACCCUCGGGUGACAGGGAGACAGGUGGUGCAUGGUUGUCGUCAGCUCGUGUCGUGAGAUGUUGGGUUAAGUCCCGCAACGAGCGCAACCCCUACGUUUAGUUGCUAACGCGUGAAGGCGAGCACUCUAGACGAACUGCCGUUGACAAAACGGAGGAAGUGGGGAUGACGUCAAAUCAUCAUGCCCCUUAUGUUCUGGGCUACACACGUGCUACAAUGGCCGGUACAGACGGACGCAAAGCCGCGAGGUGGAGCAAAUCCUAAAAAGCCGGUCUCAGUUCGGAUUGCAGGCUGCAAUUCGCCUGCAUGAAGUCGGAAUCGCUAGUAAUCGCAGGUCAGCAUACUGCGGUGAAUACGUUCCCGGGCCUU
This 473-nucleotide ribosomal RNA is filed under the name uncultured Pelotomaculum sp. RNAcentral's name for it is "bacterial SSU rRNA". It matches the Rfam family "Bacterial small subunit ribosomal RNA", at positions 910 to 1382 of the family's 1533-position model. Lineage: Bacteria; Bacillati; Bacillota; Clostridia; Eubacteriales; Desulfotomaculaceae. The record is from RNAcentral.